CAAGUCGAACGCUGAUUCAAGGUAGCAAUAUUUUGAAGUCGGAGUGGCGCAAGGGUGCGUAACACGUGGGCAAUCUGCCGUGAAGCCUGGAAUAACUCGCUGAAAGGCGAGCUAAUACCGGAUGUGAACGCAAGUUCAAAGCUGGGGACCGCAAGGCCUGGCACUUUACGAUGAGCCCGCGGCCUAUCAGCUAGUUGGUGAGGUAACGGCCCACCAAGGCUAAGACGGGUAGCUGGUCUGAGAGGACGACCAGCCACACUGGAACUGAGACACGGUCCAGACACCUACGGGUGGCAGCAGUCGAGAAUUUUUCUCAAUGGGCGAAAGCCUGAAGGAGCGACGCCGCGUGGGGGAUGAAUGGCUUCGGCCCGUAAACCCCUGUCAUUUGCGAACAAAUUGGUUCACCUAACACGUGAACCAUUGAUAGUAGCGGAAGAGGAAGGGACGGCUAACUCUGUGCCAGCAGCCGCGGU
RNAcentral lists this ribosomal RNA (473 nucleotides) under uncultured bacterium. Its description in RNAcentral is "bacterial SSU rRNA". It matches the Rfam family "Bacterial small subunit ribosomal RNA", at positions 58 to 521 of the family's 1533-position model. The record is from RNAcentral.